UCCUCGUUUAAGCGAGGCAGUCUGUCCAGAGUGCUUCCCUCUCUCUAGGGAUGUCUGGUGCAUGUCAAACCCAGGUAAGGUUCUUCGCGUUGCAUCGAAUUAAUCCACAUGCUCCGCCGCUUGUGCGGGCCCCCGUCAAUUCCUUUGAGUUUUAGCCUUGCGGCCGUACUCCCCAGGCGGGGCGCUUAAUGCGUUAGCUACGGCACGGAAAACAUGAAUGCUCCCCACACCUAGCGCCCAACGCUUACAGCGUGGACUAC
This 260-nucleotide unclassified non-coding RNA is filed under the name uncultured Actinomycetes bacterium. RNAcentral describes it as "uncultured actinobacterium contains 16S-23S intergenic spacer region". Lineage: Bacteria; Bacillati; Actinomycetota; Actinomycetes. The record is from RNAcentral.